ACAUCUGACUGAGCUGAAGAUGGUUGGAUCUAGUCGACAUUUGAUUGAUCCGAAAAUGGUUGAAUCUAAUCGAAUUUGAUCGGCCUCUGACCGAUUUAAGGAUGAUCGGCCUAAUGAUGGUAAUGUCACAUUGGAUGUUGAUGGCAAGAUCGAUGUAGUUGAUAUUGGUGCUGGUGGUGAUGAAACAACUUAAGCAUAAGGUGAUGUCA
RNAcentral lists this long non-coding RNA (209 nucleotides) under Elaeis guineensis (African oil palm). RNAcentral describes it as "long non-coding RNA (EGUI_LNC079600)". Lineage: Eukaryota; Viridiplantae; Streptophyta; Magnoliopsida; Arecales; Arecaceae. The record is from RNAcentral.